This 1249-nucleotide ribosomal RNA is filed under the name Siamoglaris theresiae. RNAcentral describes it as "SSU rRNA". It matches the Rfam family "Eukaryotic small subunit ribosomal RNA", at positions 109 to 1295 of the family's 1831-position model. Lineage: Eukaryota; Metazoa; Arthropoda; Insecta; Psocodea; Prionoglarididae. The record is from RNAcentral.
GUUUUGGUUCAUUAGAUGGUACGAACAGUUACUUGGAUAACUGUGGUAAUACUAGAGCUAAUACACGCAAAUUGAGUUCCGACCAUUCUUUGGAAGGAAUGCUUUUAUUAGAUCAAAACUAAUCGGGUGAUAAAUCCGUAUAAUCUGGUGACUCUGAAUAACUUUGGGCUGAUCGCAUGGUCAAGCACCGGCGACGCAUCUUUCAAAUGUCUGCCUUAUCAACUUACGAUGGUAGGUUCUGUGCCUACCAUGGUUGUAACGGGUAACGGGGAAUUAGGGUUCGAUUCCGGAGAGGGAGCCUGAGAGACAGCUACCACAUCCAAGGAAGGCAGCAGGCGCGCAAAUUACCCACUCCCAGCACGGGGAGGUAGUGACGAAAAAUAACGAUGCAGAACUCUUUCCGAGGCUCUGCAAUCGGAAUGAGUACACUCUAAAUCAUUUAACAAGUAUCCAUUGGAGGGCAAGUCUGGUGCCAGCAGCCGCGGUAAUUCCAGCUCCAAUAGCGUAUAUUAAAGUUGUUGCGGUUAAAAAGCUCGUAGUUGGAUUUGUGUUUCACACUGCUGGUUCGUUGUACGUCAACGUUAACCGGCAUGUCUGUGGAACGUAUAGUCGGUUGAAGGCGUACUACUUUAUUGUGUGUACGACUUUCAGUUUAAUCCUGUCGCGGUGCUCUUUAUUGAAGUGUCGAGGCAGGCCGACACGUUUACUUUGAACAAAUUUGAGUGCUUACAGCAGGCUUCGAUAGCCUGAAAAUCAUUUGCAUGGAAUAAUGGAAUAGGAUCUCGGUUCUAUUUUAUUGGUUUUCUGAAUCCGAGGUAAUGAUUAAUAGGGACAGGCGGGGGCAUUAGUAUUGCGACGUUAGAGGUGAAAUUCUUGGAUCGUCGCAAGACUGACCUAAGCGAAAGCAUUUGCCAAGGAUGCUUCCAUUAAUCAAGAACGAAAGUUAGAGGCUCGAAGGCGAUCAGAUACCGCCCUAGUUCUAACCAUAAACGAUGCCAGCCAGCGAUCCGUCGAAGUUUCUCCGAUGACUCAACGGGCAGCUUCCGGGAAACUAAAGCAUUUAGGUUCCGGGGGAAGUAUGGUUGCAAAGCUGAAACUUAAAGGAAUUGACGGAAGGGCACCACCAGGAGUGGAGCCUGCGGCUUAAUUUGACUCAACACGGGGAAACUCACCAGGCCCAGACACCGAAAGGAUUGACAGAUUUACAGCUUUUUCUUGAUUCGGUGGGUGGUGGUGCAUGGCCGUUCUU